RNAcentral lists this ribosomal RNA (643 nucleotides) under Lunella sp. ophiolite. Its description in RNAcentral is "partial 12S ribosomal RNA". It matches the Rfam family "Bacterial small subunit ribosomal RNA", at positions 528 to 1384 of the family's 1533-position model. Lineage: Eukaryota; Metazoa; Mollusca; Gastropoda; Trochida; Turbinidae. The record is from RNAcentral.
GACAAACUAGGCCAAGCUAAGAUAAGUACAGUAAAAAAGGGGGUUAGAAACUGACAAUUAAACUUAGAAACAAAAUUCAAGUGUAAUUUCUAAAAACUAAAAGAUUAAGUCUUCUGUAGAGGUGGAAUUUGUACAGAAUAAAGAGUCUAUUUCUUUUUUAUUUUGAAGCCCCGAAAUCUUGUCUAAAAACCGGGAUUAGAUACCCCGCUAUUCAAGAUGUAAAUUUUAAUUUUAAUAUUUUACUUGAGCAUUACGGGCCCUAUAAAUUACUCUUAUGGAAUGCACCUAAAACUCAAAAAACUUGGCGGUGCCUUAAAUCCUUUCAGGGGAACCUGUCCUAUAAUCGAUAGUCCACGAUUUACCUUUCCUUUUUUUGAAAAACCAGCCUGUAUACCGUCGUCGCCAGAUUACCUCUAAGAGAAAAGAAGUUAUCAACAAGGGAAGUAUAAAAUAAACUGUGAUAGUUCAGUAGUCAAAGUUAUAAUCCCUAAACGUCAGAUCAAGGUGCAGCCAAUAUUAAGGAAGAGAUGGGUUACAAUAAAUAUUAAAUGAAUUUCUUUUUGCAAGAUAAAAGUUUGAAAGCGGACUUGAAAGUAAUUAAAGAGAAAUAGAAAGUCUCGGUGAACAUGGCCCUAAGGCGUGC